GGAAUUGCAGUAAUGGCAGGUCAGCAUACUGCCGUGAAUACGUUCCCGGGCCUUGUACACACCGCCCGUCACACCAUGAGAGUUGGAGAUACCCGAAGCCUAUGAGCUAACUUUUAGAGGCAGUAGUCGAAGGUAGAAUCAAUGAUUGGGGUGAAGUCGUAACAAGGUAAC
RNAcentral lists this ribosomal RNA (171 nucleotides) under uncultured bacterium. RNAcentral's name for it is "partial 16S ribosomal RNA". It matches the Rfam family "Bacterial small subunit ribosomal RNA", at positions 1328 to 1500 of the family's 1533-position model. The record is from RNAcentral.